This 819-nucleotide ribosomal RNA is filed under the name uncultured bacterium. RNAcentral describes it as "bacterial SSU rRNA". It matches the Rfam family "Bacterial small subunit ribosomal RNA", at positions 8 to 811 of the family's 1533-position model. The record is from RNAcentral.
AGAGUUUGAUCCUGGCUCAGGAUGAUCGCUGGCGGCAUGCCUAAUACAUGCAAGUCGAACGAGAGGAAGGAAAGCUUGCUUUUCUGAAUCUAGUGGCGAACGGGUGAGUAACACGUAGGUAACCUGCCCAUGUGCCCGGGAUAACUUCUGGAAACGGAUGCUAAAACCGGAUAGGUAGCAGACAAGCAUUUGACUGCUAUUAAAGUGGCUAAGGCCAUGAACAUGGAUGGACCUGCGGUGCAUUAGCUAGUUGGUGAGGUAACGGCCCACCAAGGCGACGAUGCAUAGCCGGCCUGAGAGGGCGGACGGCCACAUUGGGACUGAGACACGGCCCAAACUCCUACGGGAGGCAGCAGUAGGGAAUUUUCGUCAAUGGGGGGAACCCUGAACGAGCAAUGCCGCGUGAGUGAGGAAGGUCUUCGGAUCGUAAAGCUCUGUUGUAAGAGAAAAACGAUAUUCAUAGGGAAUGAUGAGUGAGUGAUGGUAUCUUACCAGAAAGUCACGGCUAACUACGUGCCAGCAGCCGCGGUAAUACGUAGGUGGCGAGCGUUAUCCGGAAUGAUUGGGCGUAAAGGGUGCGUAGGUGGCAGAACAAGUCUGGAGUAAAAGGUAUGGGCUCAACCCGUACUGGCUCUGGAAACUGUUCAGCUAGAGAACAGAAGAGGACGGCGGAACUCCAUGUGUAGCGGUAAAAUGCGUAGAUAUAUGGAAGAACACCGGUGGCGAAGGCGGCCGUCUGGUCUGUUGCUGACACUGAAGCACGAAAGCGUGGGGAGCAAAUAGGAUUAGAUACCCUAGUAGUCCACGCCGUAAACGAUG